UUUGGGGUGAGAGCGGCGGACGGGUGAGUAAUGUCUGGGAAACUGCCUGAUGGAGGGGGAUAACUACUGGAAACGGUAGCUAAUACCGCAUAACGUCUUCGGACCAAAGAGGGGGACCUUCGGGCCUCUUGCCAUCAGAUGUGCCCAGAUGGGAUUAGCUAGUAGGUGAGGUAAUGGCUCACCUAGGCGACGAUCCCUAGCUGGUCUGAGAGGAUGACCAGCCACACUGGAACUGAGACACGGUCCAGACUCCUACGGGAGGCAGCAGUGGGGAAUAUUGCACAAUGGGCGCAAGCCUGAUGCAGCCAUGCCGCGUGUGUGAAGAAGGCCUUCGGGUUGUAAAGCACUUUCAGCGGGGAGGAAGGCGGUGAGGUUAAUAACCUCAUCGAUUGACGUUACCCGCAGAAGAAGCACCGGCUAACUCCGUGCCAGCAGCCGCGGUAAUACGGAGGGUGCAAGGGUUAAUCGGAAUGACUGGGCGUAAAGCGCACGCAGGCGGUUUGUUAAGUCAGAUGUGAAAUCCCCGAGCUUAACUUGGGAACUGCAUUUGAAACUGGCAAGCUAGAGUCUUGUAGAGGGGGGUAGAAUUCCAGGUGUAGCGGUGAAAUGCGUAGAGAUCUGGAGGAAUACCGGUGGCGAANGCGGCCCCCUGGACAAAGACUGACGCUCAUGUGCAAAAGCGUGGGGAGCAAACAGGAGCAG
Molecule: ribosomal RNA, 702 nt
Filed under: Pectobacterium carotovorum subsp. carotovorum
Lineage: Bacteria; Pseudomonadati; Pseudomonadota; Gammaproteobacteria; Enterobacterales; Pectobacteriaceae
Description: bacterial SSU rRNA
Rfam family: Bacterial small subunit ribosomal RNA
Source: RNAcentral